AUGAAGGCCGACUUGAGGCUGGUAAGGGAGAGUCAUGAACCGGGAGCAGAGAACCUCCCAAUGGACAGCUGGCCCUGGAGCAACGAAGAGGAAUCGCCCUUCAAAGGCUUGCCCCCCUUGCCUAAAGUCUUUCGAGAGCCCAGCUUGCCUUCAUUUUCUCUGCCUGGGGAAGGAGAGCAGGAAGCAGCCCAAGAGCUUGAGGGGGGCUGCCCUGGCCUCCAAAACAAGAUCGCCUGGGUGCACAGUGAAAUGCUGAGAUUGCGGAGGGCUGACCAGGCGCUUUUCCGCCAUCUCUACACCCUCGCGUUGGAGAUCCAGGACCUGAAGGAGUUGCAGCUGGAGAUGGAAAUUUUCUCGAGGGAGGAGCUGCUUGUGGACGAGCAAGGCCACGUACGAGACACCGCCAGCGCAGCCACGAAUGUCCACUCGGCAGCCGCUUUUGAAAUGACCAUCUGAAAAUUGGGGGAGCCACGGCCAACUCCGAUCCAUCCUUACUCACAUGCAAACCGUGAUCUGGUGCUCCAGUCCCCAAGCAACGAACCUGUAUCUGUGAAUGCACCUUCAGUCCCAAGACUUAAUACUGACUUUGCACUGGCAGAACCCCUGUCCCGGUGUGGGUUAGGACACGGGCAACGAGACAAUGGCCCUCUGCUACAACCACACACCGGAGGCUGGUUGUUCCAUGCCAGAGGUCAUCAAACUAAGGCCCGCGGGCCGGAUACGGCCCACUGGGCUCGUUAAUCUGGCCCGCGAACCUUGCGGACCCUGCCGCCCGCUCGGUCAGUCCCCGCGCAAUUCGUGCCAUUACCUCAGAUAUUCGGAAAGGAGCCCAUGUGCCAGUACAAGUCUGGAAUACUAACCCGUUAAGCAAUUGCUGGUCUAAUCUGUUUGGGACCAGAUGGAUGGCAGGCCUAGCAAAAGGAGCAUCCAUGUUUUUCCUAGCAGUCCUUGCCUUGAUUGUAUUUGUGCCUUGUCUAUUUGCCUUAGUCCGUCACUUGGUUUCUAACAUGCUUUCCAAUAUAGCCCAAAAACAGUUAUUUUUGCAAUACCACCAACUGCCUCAGGAGGGUCAAGAUGGGUUACCUGAGGGACAAGCUGAAUGGUACAAGUAAUGGAUCCAAACUACAAGAAAGAAGAUUCCACCUAAACAUUAGGAAGAACUUCCUGACAGUAAGAGCUGUUUGACAGUGGAAUUUGCUGCCAAGGAGUGUGGUGGAGUCUCCUUCUUUGGAGGUCUUUAAGCAGAGGCUUGACAACCAUAUGUCAGGAGUGCUCUGAUGGUGUUUCCUGCUUGGCAGGGGGUUGGACUCGAUGGCCCUUGUGGUCUAUUCCAACUCUAUGAUUCUAUGAUUCUAAGUAAUCUUGUACCUUUAAGCUUGAAAGGGGGGAAUGUGGUGGCGGCCCAAAGGGCCACAAUAAAUGUGAUAAUGUGUACCCCUGUAAAUCCUUGAGUGCGCUUCUAAUAGAGAAGUUAUGGUAACCUGUUGCUUUAUGAAACUGAUGAUUUUGCAAGU
Molecule: long non-coding RNA, 1514 nt
Filed under: Podarcis muralis (Common wall lizard)
Lineage: Eukaryota; Metazoa; Chordata; Lepidosauria; Squamata; Lacertidae
Description: lncRNA (ENSPMRG00000008818.1)
Source: RNAcentral